ACGGAGGAUCCGGGCGUUAUCCGGAAUUACUGGGUUUAAAGGGUGCGUAGGCGGGGCUUUAAGCCGGCGGUGAAAUGCAGCGGCUCAACCGCUGGAAUGCCGUUGGGACUGGGGCUCUUGGAUACGGUCGGGGCGGGUGGAACUCGUGGUGUAGCGGUGAAAUGCAUAGAUAUCACGAGGAACGCCGGUAGCUAAGGCAGCUCGCCGGUCCGGUAUUGACGCUCCUCCUCUUGUGCUUUUUUUUCUUUCAG
This 251-nucleotide ribosomal RNA is filed under the name uncultured prokaryote. RNAcentral describes it as "partial 16S rRNA". It matches the Rfam family "Bacterial small subunit ribosomal RNA", at positions 525 to 775 of the family's 1533-position model. The record is from RNAcentral.